GACGAACGCUGGCGGCGUGCUUAACACAUGCAAGUCGAACGGUAAGGCCCUUCGGGGUACACGAGUGGCGAACGGGUGAGUAACACGUGGGUGACCUGCCCUGCACUUCGGGAUAAGCCUGGGAAACUGGGUCUAAUACCGGCUAGGACCACUGCCUACAUGGGUGGUGGUGGAAAGCUUUUUCGGUGGGGGAUGGGCCCGCGGCCUAUCAGCUUGUUGGUGGGGUGAUGGCCUACCAAGGCGACGACGGGUAGCCGGCCUGAGAGGGUGACCGGCCACACUGGGACUGAGAUACGGCCCAGACUCCUACGGGAGGCAGCAGUGGGGAAUAUUGCACAAUGGGCGCAAGCCUGAUGCAGCGACGCCGCGUGAGGGAUGACGGCCUUCGGGUUGUAAACCUCUUUCAGCACCGACGAAGCGCAAGUGACGGUAGGUGCAGAAGAAGGACCGGCCAACUACGUGCCAGCCGCCGCUGUAA
Molecule: ribosomal RNA, 478 nt
Filed under: uncultured bacterium
Lineage: Bacteria
Description: partial 16S ribosomal RNA
Rfam family: Bacterial small subunit ribosomal RNA
Source: RNAcentral